RNAcentral lists this ribosomal RNA (403 nucleotides) under uncultured bacterium. Its description in RNAcentral is "bacterial SSU rRNA". It matches the Rfam family "Bacterial small subunit ribosomal RNA", at positions 356 to 773 of the family's 1533-position model. The record is from RNAcentral.
GGGGAAUAUUGGGCAAUGGGCGAAAGCCUGACCCAGCAACGCCGCGUGAGGGAAGAAGGUUUUCGGAUUGUAAACCUCUGUCCUUGGUGACGAAGGAAGUGACGGUAGCCAAGGAGGAAGCCCCGGCUAACUACGUGCCAGCAGCCGCGGUAAUACGUAGGGGGCGAGCGUUGUCCGGAAUGACUGGGCGUAAAGGGCGUGUAGGCGGCGAACUAAGUUUGGAGUGAAAGUCCUGCUUUCAAGGUGGGAAUUGCUUUGGAAACUGGUUUGCUUGAGUGCGGAAGAGGUAAGUGGAAUUCCCAGUGUAGCGGUGAAAUGCGUAGAGAUUGGGAGGAACACCAGUGGCGAAGGCGACUUACUGGGCCGUAACUGACGCUGAGGCGCGAAAGCGUGGGGAGCGAAC